Long non-coding RNA from Eriocheir sinensis (Chinese mitten crab), 626 nucleotides. RefSeq lists it as uncharacterized. The transcript has 5 exons. NCBI's taxonomy places the organism in Eukaryota, Metazoa, Arthropoda, Malacostraca, Decapoda, Varunidae. The record is from RefSeq and is a predicted model, not a curated record.
AUUUCUCGCAACGCUGGCGCCGAGUCCGACCCUCUGGCCGCCGCGUGGGUCGUCAAGGUGGCGGCCUCCUGAAGGUGGCAGCGGCGGGCCCGGCGGUGCUUGGUUGCCACGAGGAGUCGGUCGUCGCCGCCCUGGUGCCGCCCCAAGCCGUCCCUCAUGCAGCUCCACGUCGUGAGGUCAUCAGGGCAGACCUAGAGUGCCGGUAGGCAUUCCUGGUUGGGCCUGGUGGUCAACCCAAGCCUGUCAUGGUGCAGGCAAGUGCUUAUAGUGGCGCCAUCUAUUCUUGGCUGGUAGCGGUGGAUUUGAACCCACAUCAUCCAGGACGUGACGAAAUGCUGGACCAGCACGCUAACCACUCAACUGGUGCAAGAUUGGGACAACCAGCCCCAUUUUCCAGUCAAGAGGAAUGUUAUCAGUUUGGUGCCAUAUGGCAGUCAAGAACGCAUGCAACCCCCGGAUCAUGGUCUCACCUCCAGCUUUGGCUUCACCAAAACAAUUUUCUCCACUAAAUGUGACAUCAGCUUGCGAUCGGAAUCCUCUCUUAGGUGACGUGGGUCGUCAUCAGGAGCAUCACCAGUUCCAUACAGAAGUAACAAGUUGAACCACUUCAUGCGUUCAACCUCCAC